CUGCACCCCAGCCCUCUCCAGAGCCCCAAGAGAUGGGCAUCACCGUCUCUAGCUGCCAGGCCGCAGAACAAGGAAGUGGGGACCACCCUCCCUGACCCCCCAGGGGGAAACACUUCUGUGCACAUGGGGAUCCCCCCCGGGGCUUCAUGCAACAGCACUGUGAUAGCUGUGGGACUGGUGGGCCUGAGAACUUCUGGGGCCUGAGAAAACCUUGUGCCCCACCUGGCACUUGUCAGCACCCUAUGCAGGUCCUAAUCGCCCACAAAGCACUUGGACGUGCAGGACACAGGCCUCUGACUACUGCCCUGGAGAAACAGCUGCUCCCCACCUCAGGGCCACCCUGAGGGCCUAAGAGGGUGGGAGCUCCUGCACCACUAUGCCACCCUCGGGGCCACCCUGACCUUGCUCCCCCACGGCCAGCAGGAGCCCCUGUGAGCAGGGAGGGGCUGGUCUAACCUGUGAGCUGGCUGUUCGGGGUUAAUCCUGGGGGGGGGGGCAGGUGUCCCUGGCCACCUUGCCUGGGUGCUGAAGGGUGUGCUCCAGCCUGCCCCUGGAGUCACCCUUGUCACUGGCCUAGUCACAGCGAGCGCCCCAGGACUGCCUGAGCCUGGCAGGCUCCUGGGAGGAGGACUGAUGCAGAGGGGGGUGCACGGCCCUGGGCUGAAGACAGGCCCAGCACCUGAGAAGCCCCUUGACCUCAGGGCAGGAUGAGCCCCACGCUAUCAGGGUGCCCCGCUGCCUCUCCAAGGGAUACCUAACCUUAAUCCCCCAGAGCAAACUUCAACAAUCAAUCAUAAGAAGAAAACAAACAUCUGAGGACAUCACCUGAUCCCCACGGGGGCUUUGCCUGACAGACCCCUCUCCCCACUCUAGCCCCAGGACCUGUGGGUGACCAAGAAGACAAGGAAGAUGGUGGCAAGGGCAAGAGGUAAUUGGCCCUGAGAGCCACCUCCCCCUGCCUUGGACCUUACUCGUUGACCUCUUCCAGAUGGCGGACUGGGGGCCAGCAGGAGGAAGAGGUGGCCAGGGCUGAGCUGGGGAAGGAAACGGCCCACACACAGGCCCCUUCCUGCCCUCGGCUCAGAGCCCAGGCCUUCCCCACAUGGCCCUCACCCCGGGCAGCCUCACUGCCUACAGGACCCUGUCUUUCUUCUCUUCAGCCCUAAGGGAGAGGUUCUGGUCCAGCCCCGGUCAAGGGCCAGCCCUGGGAAGUCCUGACCUUCACAUCCCCAGCCACCAUCCACCCAGUACCCCUGGGCGGCCAGCGGGGAGGUGAAGCACUUGCACACCCGUCGGGGCUGCAGAGGGGGAGCUGUGAGCCCGGGAGCCCAGGGAUGGCCGCCAAAGCCAGAAGGAGCCAGAGAAGGUGAGACUGGACAACUCCAGCCUUGUCUGUGUGAGUAGUCCCUGGCCUGAAGGUGGUCCAGACUGUCUCAAGGCGUCCGUGUUGAGUGAGGAGCAGCAGAGGACAAACAGUAGCCUUGGGGUAGAGGCUGUCAUCCCUAUGCAAGUGGAAAGGAAGACUCCAAGGCCAAGAGGCGUGUUGUGGACCGGGGAGUGGAAGCCAGACUAACGGACCAACGUGUGCAAGAGCCCAGGCCUGCACCCGGGGCGGCAUGCAGAGCGUGUGGCGGGCCUGCUCACACCUCUCUGGCCACCUUCCUCUCAGCGGGCAGCAUAGCCCCCUCGAGUGGCCACACCCUCCCUGGAACCACGCACCUGUGCUUUGCGUCACACGCCCCAGGCCUGCACCCCCAGCAGAGGUGGCUCCUGGCCCUGCAAAGCCAAGACCCAGACCUAGAGCUAGCUGCUGGCCAAAGUGCCACCGGCUGCGCUGCCCACGGGACCACGUGGCCCAGUGGCCUCUCACGGCCACCCUUCUCAAGACCUGACCCAACGCAGACCUGCAGGCUGCUCCUGGUUCCUUUCCACCAGCCGUUACCCCAGCCCCCACCUUGACCUAACCCCAGUCUUCCCCAGGCUAAGUCCAACGCUGCCUUUUAGGUAGCAAGACUGCUUCUUAGAGUUAACAGUCCAAAUUCUCAGCACUGGAGCUUUGAGCUGCCAGCUGGUCUGGAGGUGCAGGCCUCUCCGCUAUGGGAUGCUGGCUCUGUGUGUCGUGUGCCUGAGCAAUCUCUCUGCCGGUAGCGUGCCAGCCUCACAGGCCCACGGCAGCCAGCUUCCUCUCCUUUCCCUGACGGCUGAGAAAGCAGCUCGCCUUCCACCCCGGGCACACAGACCCCAGCUGCAGCCCCAUCUCAUUCUCACUAGAGCCUCUGGCGCUCAAAAGCGGCUCAGACUAUGCUCUGCAGCUGCAAAGUAUCGCUGAUGUCACUGAGUCCAGCUGUUUUGCCUGUUUGACCCAUGAGUGAGGACACAGGUGGGGAACAAGGACCUGCCCAGGGAAACAAAGAGGGCCGGGUGCAAGGACCCUUGUCCCUCGGUCCGGGGCAGCAUCCACCUCAGCAGACAGCUGUGCCCAUGCCACGCUCAGCUCUGCGGGGAUGAGCACACGAGUAUGCAUGCACCUCCACAGUGCCUGACCUGCAGGGCCUGCCCAAGGCCCCAGUCACCAUGGGGCGGAGCCAGGGUCUCGGUCAUGGAUGCCAGGGCUGUUGUGCGCAGGCACUGACACAGCCGUGGCCCAUGUCAGCUUGGCUGACCUGGCAAUUCCAGCCCAGCUGGGGGCUCAGGAGCGGAGCUGGCCUCAGAGGGAGAGAAACAAGGUUGGGGUGGGGGACAGAGCAGCUUCAGGAUGAAGAGGCAGGCCUGUGGGCUGGAUGCUGUUGGACAGGGAUCUCCCCACAUGGCGGCAGGGGUGGGGGUGGCUGGGACGAUCAGGGACAGCCAGUGGGACCACGUGGAGGGCAAGGGGUGCCUAGUGUGUGCAGUGGGGCUGCACGUGGCCUCAUGGAGAGAGGGACUGCCAGGGGUCUGGGGAAUGGGCAGCGAGGAGAAGAGACACCAGCAGGCUUUGAUGCCUCUCGGGGUGAUCUGGGACUUGGCAUGUGUUUGAUGGGGCCCAAGAGAGCCUCCUCAGAGCAAGAGGGUGCUAACACUUGGCUCCUUUGAGCCCGCCCCACGUCAGGGUUGGAAAUGAGAGCUACCGUCCAGGCUUCUAGAAUAGCCCAGUCUUUGGAGGGCUGCUGAGCUGCUUCCGUUUCAUCUCAGGAGGGGAGCCCGCAUCCUAGAAAAGCCAUGUCUGAUGUGCACAUGGAGAAAACUAGGACAACCCAUCCACCAUCUGACCCCUGGCUCCUAAUGAGUGGCCUUUAUGGACCCGGGGGCAUCUGUGCUGAGUAAGUGGAGCCAGGUUCAGGCCACAAGUGGUGGCAGUGGCCGUGGCCUGUGCCAGGUGUCUUCCCUGGAUGACCAGCACAGGAUCCUCAUGCAGGGAGGGGCUGAGCUGAAGGGGUGGCGGGGGUCAGGCACUGACCACAGACAAAGCCGACAUCCCAGGCAGAGCUGGUGCCUCCACUGGCGUUCAGGUCCCAAGCAGGCUUACAACCCGCCACCUCCCCCAAACCCUUCACACUCGUGUAGAACAUCAGAAGGGGAACAAACUCGUCCAGGCGUGUCCUGCAGAGCAGGGCUCUGUCCCCAACCUGAGGGGUGCCCCGAACCAGAAGAACAAAUGUGAGAUGUUACAAGCGCAGCAUUCCUCCCCUCUCUAGAGCGCCGUGCAGCCUCUGCUGUGGCCUGGGGGCCUCCCACUGAGCUGUGAGGAACAAGGACGAGGACCGGCCCCUGGGAGCAGGGCCCCCACACCUGCCGGACGCUCGUGCUGGCAGGUGGCGGAACUUGCAGAGGCCUGAGUUCACGACCCAAGCCAAGCAGCGUCGCAGCACAUAUCCAAUCACUCUCUGGCUAGAGUGCACCCUCCCCCGGACGUACCUCUGGAUGACCAUGGACGUGGGCAGCCCUGGGGACAGCCAGCCCUGCCCUCUCCAGCACCACCUGCCCCACCCAGUGCCGACCCUCAUGUGCCAUUUGGCCUCUCUCUGUUCCCUCUCCUGGACCACCUUCUCCCUGGUCUGCCCGGCCACCUUGCCCCCUUCCCCUUGCUGUAGCUGGCCGACCUCCUCUCCUGCACCCUCGGCACACGCAGGGUGCCGGGUGCACUGCUCACACCCGGCCCCGAGGAAAGGGGGCUGAGGCAGGGGCUCCCGCAGGUCGAGCCCUCCCUCCGAGAGCUCGCUGCGCCCGAGCACCACCAUCUCCUCCUCUUGGGUUUCCCGUGGUGCCCCUGCUGCAGGGCCGCCUUCAUUGCCCACCCAAGAGGGGCCUGGAGCCCAGGGUUCCCCACCCCUCCUCUGAGUAGGGCCAGGCGGGUCCCUCUCUGGAAAUAAAGCCCAGCACUGAGCCGCUGGGGCUGGGGCGGCCUCCCCUGCAGCCCGGAGCGGGCCCUUGCUCGUCUGUCCUAAGCAAAUUUGCCAGUGUCCCCACAUGGGGAGCUGCGGGGUGGGUGUGACAGGACGUUAUCUGAGAGUCAGUGCCACCCUGGCGAGGGGCUGGGCUUCCUGGGGAAGCUCCACCUGCUUUGGCAUACCCUAAUUUUAGACUUCUUAUACCUAAUUAGAGAUCAACGUUUCAAAAUUUGUUUUUAAUCAACCAAAUUCCUGCACAUCCUUCCCAACUGGCCCCGAGCCACCUCGCCUCCUUCCCACACGGACCCCAGUGAGCCUGUGUGCUCUUUUCCACGAAGUCCCUUCCCCCAGCUGCCUCCUCCUCCUUCUGGGGCCUUCCUGGACCCUCUCCUGGACACAGUGGCCCCGGGGCACAUGUGGUAAUGGUCUCCCGUGAUCCUCGAUAACCCCGUGAGGUGGGUCUGGUCAGCCCCAGUUUACAGAUGAAGAAACUAAGUCUUACCAAUACUGAGCAGCUCGCCCAAAGCCACCAGCUAUGGGUGGGGCCAGGCAUGGUGCAGGGCCUGAGGCUGGUCAGGAGCAGAAUUGAGGGUGAGGGCGUGGGCGUCCUUUGAGUGGCCUCACCCUGGCCUGUGAGGGAGUACAUGCUCUGCCCCCAGAGGCACGUGGUGGCCACAGCCCAUCACCAUGGAAACCAGGCCGGGGCCCCUGGAGCCCUCAGCUCUGGUUUGGAUUUCAAACCCAAUGCCGCUUUCUCAGAAGCAACUUGGUCAAACUUUCCAAAUAGGAAAAGUGGAAGGAAAAAGAGAGAGAGAGAAAUUCCCAGCCUGAAGCCACCCCAGAAAGACGGCCUGGGCCCUGAGCUGGGGAAGCCCUGUCUGGGUGGGCAGUGUGGUGGCAGGGCAGAGACCCCGUAGCCUCCCCAGGGCUCAUGCCCCUCCUCUGGGGAGCAGGCGGUGGUGGUGCAGCCGAAGCAGGUGGGCCCGGCCCUUCCUGUCUCUGCGGGAGCAGCUGCCCUUUUGUGUUUCCCAGUGGGGUGUGUGAGAAAGGGCUCUUUUGGAAAAAGGGUUGGAAAACCACUGACCUCAUCCAGCUGGCCUGCCUUUGGAGAUGGGGAAACUGAGGUCAGGGUCGGGACCAGGAAGUCAAAAGCAGGGCUAAACCCCGAAGGUAGGGCAGCAUGGCUACGCCCAGAGCAGGCGCACCGGAAGAUCUGUGGGUCGGGCCCCAUGUGGACGGGGCGCUGGGGCAUCCACACUCCAGCCCCCUGCAGCAGCCCCGGCUCCACGCCAUGGGGGUGCCGCCCAGCCCUGUGCUCGGGCUCCUGGGCCAGCGCCCAUCGCCACAGGAAGGCCGUCCUCCCUUGGGGCUUCCACUCCAGCUCAGGAUGACUCUGAGCUACCCAGGGCACACCUGGGAAGCCCGCAAGGAAGGGGAGGUGAAUGAGCAGCAGCCACAGGCACGGUGCCCUGAGGGGAUGGGGGACAGGCAAAGGCCACCAGAUAUACUCUGCCCUCCCCUAUGCCCCCACCCAUUGCCAGACCCCUUAGGGACCCUCAGCUGCGCUCCACCCUGCCCCUCCCACCCCCAGAACCCUCUGUGGGGGGGAUGCUCCCGCCCACUGCUUUCACUGUCGAGACAGGUGUUUGGAGACGUGAUGGCAAGGCAGUCACGCACUCUGGCAGGGGUGGGCCCGGAAUGGCCACGUCCUGAUUGCACCAGGCUGCUCCCUGGGGCCCAGUGUGUGGCUUGUGGCCAUCUUGACACUGUUGGGACCACAGGGCUCUCGAGUGCCAAGCGCUGGACGUUCACAUCCCCCAUCUCACAAAUGAGGAGGUUGGGUCUGUGCAGUCACAGGGCACCUGACUCGGUCAGAGGUGCGCCGGCCCACGGGGGCGGCCCCCCGGCAAAAGCAGCAAGCCUUGGCUCAGCCGCAGCCCCCACACUCCCUGGCUCUGUGGCUCAGGGCUUGUGGUCUUCAGAGUCCCUCCUGCUGGGCUGGGGUGGGGCCAGCUAAUCAGGGCCAGGCAAGCAGGAUGAUGCCCAGGGCGGAGGUGGGCUUGAACCUCCACUCCUGCCGGGCUGGGCGCAGGCUGGGUGGGGAGGGCGGUGGGCAGGAGGUGAGAAGCAUCCGAGCUCUGCUCCCUGCGGGCUGCGCGAUGCUGGGCCUCAGUUUGCUCACCGUGAGAUGGGAAUCAUGGGGCCGCAGGGAGGAGGAAAUGUCUGCUGUCCCCGAGCUCCUCUGUGCCCCAUGGAAGCAAGCCCUGUGGCCUCCCUUCCAUGGCAGAGGCCUGAUCCCUGACAUUGUCUCCCACCUCAGCCCAGGGGCCAGGCCACAGCCACUGCCCUCCCACAGGCCGGGAGCCACAGGGAGGGCCUGCAUCCGGAGUGAGCCCCAGCACUCCAUGGGCCAAGAGGACUAAGCAGAGACUGGCAUAGCCAAGCAUCCUCCUUCCCAAAGGACAGGUUCCUGCAGUGACUCUGCCACAGCCGAGGCCUCGGGGAGCCCCCUUCCUCCUGGCCCUGCCCCGCUGGGUCCUGCUCCUGCGGCCUCAGGAAACACAGCCCUCCCUCGGCCCUCUCCCACGGCUCCCUGCGGCUCCCUGCCAUCCGUGGUCUGAGCCGCUGCCUGCCCUGCUCCACUUUCCAAACCCUCAAGAGGGCCCUGGGCCUCCUCCGGAAGCUGCCCCCCGGCCGCCCUCCAGACGGCGCCUGCCUGGGGCAGUGUCCCAGGGGGAUGAAGCUGAGCCUGAUACGUGCCUGCCUCAGAAAGACUCAGCGGAGACACUGAUUCCAGGAGCAAGCCUCUGAGAAAUAACUUGCAGUGGGAAAAGCAGUGCACACUGGAAAAUGUUCUUCUCUCAGGAAUGUUGCACAGCAAGCUCCUGACCAUUCUGGAUGCGGAUACAAACACUGCUGUCCCGGGGCUGGCCAGAAACUCUGGGGUGGAGGCUGCCCGCAGGAUGUGGGACCCGGGGCAAGUCCCGUGCCCCACUGGGGGACCAUCAUGGUGGGGUGCCGCCUUCUGCCAGGGCAUCCUGGCAUGGCCACAGCGGUGAGCCCACACCUGGACACAGAAACUGUCCCCAAGGGCCUGGCAAAAAUGCACGUGGGGGCAGCCCGUCCAGAGGCUGAUUAUGUCUGAUUGGUUUUUAAAGUCUAGCUGUGAAUGGGGGUGGCUUGGCUCGGGCAGGGAUUUAUGACGGCUGUGGUCCUGUCAGGGUUGGGCCGGGGCAUCCUACAGAAGGGAAGGCCUUGGGCACCUGCUCCAGGCUGAACCGGGCCCAGUGGGCUGGAGGCUGUGAAGUCCCAUGAAGCUUGCAGAGCCGAGGACACGGGAAGGAAGGAGAGCUCAGGGUGAUGCUAAGAAGUCACAAGCUUGCUAACCGUUUAAAGACUCUUAAAAACUGGGCCUUUUCCCUUGGAGAACUUGAAGUGAUUCUUUUGUUUACUUUGCUUUUGCAACCGGCCCAUCAAUCAACUCAAUAAAGCUAAAAA
Aethalodelphis obliquidens (Pacific white-sided dolphin) is the source of this 7865-nucleotide long non-coding RNA. RefSeq lists it as uncharacterized. NCBI's taxonomy places the organism in Eukaryota, Metazoa, Chordata, Mammalia, Artiodactyla, Delphinidae. The transcript has 2 exons. The record is from RefSeq and is a predicted model, not a curated record.